ACUCAAUUGCAUCUACCAACUGGCAGACAGACCAACUGAGAGAGUCCGUCCGUUCAGUAGCUGGAUUCGCCAUGGGUGUGCCCCAGGAGUGUUAGCAAGGCUAUUUCUCCGGAUCAGAAUAGUCCACAGACAGCAACUCUCUGAGGGAAGGCUCCACAACUGAACUAGUAAGACGUGCCUCUGCUUAAAAUAAUCAUAAGGAAUUUCUCCCUUCUCUUCUAUGGGUCUUAACCUUCUAAUUAGCCACCUCUUUAUCCUCUGAGAAUAUCUCAAGUCCAUGUCUGAUAAGCCACUUCUCAGCAGGGAGAGAACUGCAUCUUAAAAUGGAUUUGAUACUUCUUAGUAAACUGACAAAUCAGCCGAGGGGUGAGUCAAAUGAAAAUUUUAGGACUAUCGCCCUGCAAAAAAGGUGAUGAUUGCUAUAGGUUGGGAGAGUUAUAAUCUGUCAGAAUCUUCUGUUGCAAGGAACAGCUUAGCCACACAGCAGUGCUCCAUGGCGGCUGCCGUCAAGAAUCUAAACACGGCUUGGAAUUCUCUGAGGAUGUUAUUCAUAAAGGCACAGUUAAUCAAACUCAGACCUCUCUUCAGAAUCUCACUGUACAAGCCAAACUUAUUGCCAAUAGAAGGAAGGUGCCAGACCAGAGAAGGGAGAUCUCUACAUAUGAAAGGUGAAGUAACUUGAUUUCAGUUGUUUUGGAACUAACUUGGAGUGGUGAGAAACUACAGCAUUGUCGUGUUCUCACUAUCAGAGGUGAUUUUCUUCUAUCAAAUGCUGCUGAGUUGAGGUCAAUGCUUGAUCUGAGGACCAACGAUACAAUCUCACUUUAUUUUCAGCUGGUGCACUUUCAUUCCUUCAACACACCUCCAGCCUGGUGGAUAUCACUACUGAACUGGGAGAAAGGAUGGCUAGGUCCGGGCAUGAAUCUAAAAAUGCAAGAAAAUCUUCAACAGGUUAGAUGCAUCUUCAGCAGGUGUUGAAACCUAAAUCUCCAUUGGGACAGAAUAGUCAGCUAUGGGAGCUGUGGCUUAUGGUGCAAACAUCGCCAAGUCCAAGAACCACACCACACACAACCAGUCCUGAAAAUGGCACAGAAAUGGCAUCAAGAAACUCCAAUCACAAAGGAACCCCAAUCACUAAUCUCUAAAGGGAGUGGACCCCAAGUUCCUGAGGAGCAUACACUUUGCCAAGAAGCACAAGAAAGGCCUAAAGAAGAUGCAGGCUAACAAUGCCAAGGCCAUGAGUGCACGUGCUGAGGCUAUCAAGGCCCUUGUAAAGCCCUUGAGGUUAAGCCCAAGAUCCCAAAGGGUGUCAGCUGCAAGCUCGAUCAACUUGCCUACACUGCCCACCCCAAGCUUGGGAAGCGUGCUCAUGCCCGCAUUGCCAAGGGGCUCAGGCUGUGCAAGCCAAAGGCCAAGGAUCAAACCAAGGCCCAGGCUGCAACUCCAGCUUCAGUUCCAGUUCAGGCUUCUAAAGGUGCCCAGGGCCCUACAAAGGCUUCAGAGUAGAGAUCUCCAUCUGUCAACGUGAGGACAGAAGGACUGGUGCGACCCCCCUGGGCUGCCGUCUGCAUGGGGCUGGUGUCUUCCUGUGCUAUUUGUACAAAUAAACCUGAAGCAGGAAAAAAAAAAAAAAAGAAAACAAGAAUAGUCAGCUACAUCUUUAUAACCUUGUGAGGUGGCAGUAAAGAGCGUAAUGGCAGAACUGUCAAUGAUAGUGAAGCUUAUCCCAUGCUCAGUCACCACCUCCUUGACCAUCUCCGGCUCCACAGAAGCCUUUGAAGAUGUGGCAGAACCACACCAAGGAAGAGAGGGGGAAUCUAUGUAUCUCAGAUGAGUGGUAAUAGUGAUGCCUCAGAAACAAAUAUGAACUAAAUUGCAUAAGGAAGUGAUUCUUAAUGGGGAGAGAAAUCUGGCCUUUAAGUUAUUUAUGGAAAAGCCACAACUAUCGUAAUAAUACAAUCAUCUAUUUCCUUGAACAUCAUAGGAGCCAUUUCAUUACAUUGGCAUAGGUUUUAUAAACAAACAUAGAUACUAACCAUCAGCCAAGUAAGAGAUGCUCAGUGAUUCUUUCAUCAAAACAUAUUGCGGAGUUGCUUCCUUUUCCUAAUUUGUUUCUAUGAAUAAUCUGUGGAGUUGUGCAACAUGCACAUGACACAUGGAAAUCAGAGUUAUGGCUUUUAUGUAGACCACAUUGUUUUUUUGCCUGUAAAUUGCCUCCAAAUGGCUUGAAAGAAAUACUGCUUUAUAGUUUAAGUCAACCAAGAAGGGCUACCUGAAAGCAUUUACACCUAAUAUUCAGUAGAGCCUACUUCAGUGAUCCUCCAUCGCGCCAUGGAAACAGGCUCUAUCCGUUAGGGUUUCUGCCUAAGGAACACUCCCACUCAGGUAUAAGACAGUUUAGAAGUCUUGUGCUGAAAAGGUACAGGAAGAAAAUACAAAAGCCAACUGAUUGGAAGAAAUCUGCAGCAUCCUAAAAGUCAUUGUAAUUAAAACACAGAAGUUUGUAAUUAUUCUGAAGGAAAACAACAUACUAAGAAAGGCACAAAAAUAUGAAUGUGGUUUCCCAAGGCCUUGCUACAUUAAUCCAAAUUGACUUGGGCAGAUAUGAAAUCCUCAGAUGGGCUGAAAACUAGUUGGAAGGCUUAAAACAAAAGAAAAUGCAAUAUAAUUAGGUGGAAAGAGCAGCCGAUUUGGAGUCACUGGAAUAUGGUUAGUUCUGCCAUUGACUAACUGACUGACCUUUGGCAAUUCAUGGAACUUCUCUGUGACUCAAAUUUUAAACUGGAAAACAGGAUAUUAUUACUUAACCUUGGGUUAAAAGAAUGUGUGCAAAGGCUAUUUUGUUUUCAAAGGCUAUUCCCUUCCACGCCUCUUUCCUUAUCUCUGCACGGUGACAGACAACCCCCACCUCACUUCUCCACCAGGAACCUGCUUCAUUUUCCUUUUUAUAUUCAAAUUAUUCCUUAUCAUAGGCUUCCUAGUUCACAAAUUUUGUUUUUUAUGUUUCCUAAAGCCAGCAUUGAAUAUUGUAUUUUAUUUAUUUUUAAACUAUAGACAUUUUAUUUGGAUAACUUUUCCUAUAAAAUCAUAUUUUUUCUCAUCUUUAGUUUUAAAUAGUUUUUAAUUUUUUAGUUUUUGAUUUUUUUACUUUUUUACAUAUAUAUUUUUAUUUUUAAGUUUUGUAUUUUUAAUUAUUAUGGGUACAGAAUAGAUGUGUAUAUUUGUGGGUUACAUGUGAUGUUUUGAUAUAGACACACCAUGUGUAACAAUCACAUCCGGGUAAUUGGGGUAUGCAUCACCUCAAGCAUUUAUCAUUUGUGGUAGGAACAUUCUAAUUCCACUCUUUUAGUUAUUUUAAAAUAUACAAUAAAUUAUUAUUGACUGUAGUCAUCCUGUUUUUAAUCUUAUUUUUAAUUGAUCAGAACUAUAUAUGGGGUUCAAUGCUAUAUUUUCAUACAUGCUUACGUUGUGGAAUGACUAAAUCAAGCUAAUUACUGAAUCCAUCAUUUCACAUACUUAUCAUUUUUUGUAAUGAAAACAUUAAAUCCUACUCCUUUAGUAAUUUUGAAAUAUACAGUGCCUAUUAUUUAUCACAGUCACUAUUCUGUGCAAUAGAUCACUAAAGCUUAUGCCUCCUCUCUAAUUGAAAUUUUAUACCUUUUGAUCAACAUCUUCCUCAUCCACUCCUCUUCCCAGCCUCUGGUAACCACCAUUCUACUCUCUACUUCUUCAACAUCAUAUUUUAAAAUUAAUCCACUAGUAUAUUUAUGUUGAGUGUCUCUUCAAAUUACACUUCAAACUAAGAAAAAAUUUUCUUAUUACCCUUUUCUCUUCAGUUACCAUUGCACCUUCUUGGCUCCUACUAUUAGCUAAAGUUAAUUCACUGUUCAGAUUCUUGACAUACAUGAAGUGGUCAAACUUAAAGGGACUUGUUGAAGUACACUUUCAAUGAAGUCAGUCACAUCUGUGGUGACUUAGAGAUAUUUCUUUAGUUGUCUGGGAAUAAUGUUUAUGUGUUUAGAAUCAUCUGGAAAAUAAAUUAAAAUAAAAAUUUCUGAAGCUUCUUUAGGAGAUUCUGAUUCGAAAAGUUUAGGCAGAGAACCAGGAAUCUGCAUGUUUAAUAAUCACCCAAGCAAGUAAUUCUGAUGCAGGUAAUCCAUAGUCUACACUUCCAGAAACUCUGUUAGAGGUUAUUUAGCAAUUCCAAAGGGAAUCUGGAGUUUUGAAAUGUUGUGUUUAAAAAGAAGUACUUUAGAGAGGGGAAUAUUAGUAAAAUGAUUUUUUUUUUUUUCUUUAGACAGAGUUUCACUCUUGUGCCCAAGCCAGAGUGCAAUGGUGCGAUCUUGGCUCACUGCAACCUUCACCUCCCUCCCGGGUUCAAGUGAUUCUCCUGCCUUAGCCUCCUGAAUAGCUGGGAUUACAGGCGCACGCCACCACACUCAGCUAAUAUUUUGUAUUUUUAGUAGAAACGGGGUUUCACCAUGUUAGUCAGGCUGGUCUCGAACUCCUGACCUCACGUGAUCCACCCACCUCGGCCUCCUAAAGUGCUGGGAUUACAGGCGUGAGCCACCGUGCCCAGCCAAAUGAUUUUUUUAUAUUAAAAACUGUGAUACUAAAAAAUGUGAUGGAAGCAAGGACUUGAGUUGGGAUGGUAGUUUGUUCACUCGAUAUCUGUGUGCCUCAGGGAAGUUAAUUAGUCUUACUUUCCUAAUACAUACCAUAAUAACACCAUUAGCCACUGAAGGAGGUGUGUAGGGAUGAAUGAGAUAAUACAGGUUAAAAACAACAAAACCUUUAGCAUGAAAAAUAGAAUAGAAACAUUAAUAAUGACCCUUUUAUUACUGACAAUUUUAAAAACUGGAUUAUCAAACUAAAUGAAGAAAAGCUAAGCCCAGAUGUCACACAUGCCUUUUCCAUAAAUUAGUGUUUUCAUUUAUCUGAAGUAUGAAGGACGGGCUUGUCAACACUCAGUAGCAUACCCAGGCCAGAGGCAAGCUAAGGUGCUAAGUAAGGUGUGGCUGAAAAGCAGUUAUUUGGCUUUAAUUCAAUAAGACGUGCAUUUGAUUUAGCAAAAAACACUGCUACUAAGUGUAAAUAUAACGUAAUAGCAAAACUAUUUUUUCUUGCACCAAUUUCUUUCAAACAACUCUGAAAAAAAGAAAAAAAAUACCAGUUACAAACUGGCUGGAAAUGAGUUAUGUGAUUUCCCUAUUAUCUGGAAACGAUAUUUUAUUCUGUGCAAGAUGUUGUAGGUAGGUUACAAUUACACUGAUUAUAAAUUUAUUAUGUCUGGAUUUUGGAAUUUAUCAAAAGACAAACUGAGGUAUGUAGCACCUUGUAUCUUUCUCUCUCCCCUACCCCUUCAAAUGUAUAUACUCACGUAUGUUUAUAACAUUCAUACAGACUGAAUGUAUAACAAUAUAACAUACACUCUUAAUGUAUGUGUGUGUAUACGUGUGCACACCAUUUUCAAAUUAAGAAAUUUUUAAAAAAGGGAAAAAGUUUUCAGUAAAAUUUCCCAACAGAAAAUGAUUCAACAUAACCUUGGAAAAUACUUUUAUAUUAACCCCAAGGCAAAGGAUUGUAUCCUGAUCAUCUUUGCAUCCCAGGUGAUCUUGUGUAGUGCAUAUAAACAUUAGAUUGAAAAAAUAAUCAUUGUUGUUGAGGUUGAUGUGAUCUUUGGAACAACAAGAUUUAGGUGGGUCUCUAGAGAUUCUGAAGGAAUGGUAAUGUAAAGAGGCCAGAUGUUCUCCUGAGGUUUGCUUUAUCUUUUGUAGUUAUAAGACAGAUCAGGUUAUGCUAUAAUAAUAGAAAACUCCCAGUUCUCGGUGACUUACCCCAAAAAGGGUUGAUUUUUCAAUUAUAACCAUUUGUAGAUAUAGGAGACCCUCUAAGGUAACUGUACUUCAUGUGGUAACUCAGUGAUGCUGUUUUGAUCUUGUGUCUCCACAAUCUCAACAAAAGGCCUCUUCCACUGUCACCCAGAGGGAGAGCUCUGGGUUGGAGGGUCUGGCAGCAGUAAAUAAAUGGUUUGGCUUGGCAUGAUACACAUCACUCUGCCUGCAGCCCCACAGUGCUCGUGGCAUUGCUCCACCUACCUGCCAUGGAGUAGGGAAAUAGGAUCAAUCUAUCCUUCUGUCCCAGAAGCAGAGAUCUCAUAAUGUUAUGAAAUUCAUAACAGUAUCAUAAGCCUUUAAGGUGGAGAAAUCAUAAAAAAUGAAUUGUUGAAGAAACUCCUUAGUAAUAAUAAGUAACAUCAGAUCUUAGAUGCUGAUUACAGAGGGGAACUCUGAGUUUGAAAACAUUUUAUUUAACCUAACCAAAGCUUACGUUAAAAUCAAGGGGAACUUAUUUUAAAACAACUUUUAAAUGCCAUGUAUCUAGUAUUUUAAUGCAAUCUAUCUUUCCUUUGUCAAUUAUAGCUCAAUAAAGAAUUCUAAAUAAUUACAGAAACUGUGAUGAUGGCAUGUUCAAUGGAAAGCUGAUUAGAAUGUAUUGUUCUGAGCCAAAUAUUCAUUUUAUUGCUAAAUAUAUCAUAUUCAACAAAUGGGAGUUUGACAAAAAGCAAAUUUUCCUUCCUUGGACCAUUUACACUUUUUUCUUGGAAUUCUUAGAAAAAUAUUAUAAUGUAAUGUAAUUAUAAUGUAAACUCAUGUAGGCAAAGCUUUGGUUUCUGGUCAUAGCAAAAUAUCUAUAAAAGAGUGAUAUGGUUUGGUUGUGUCCCCACUCAAAUCUCAUCUUGAAUUGUAGCUCCCAUAAUUCCCACAUGUUGUGGGAGGGACCCUGUGGGAAGUCUUUCCUGUGCUGUUCUUGCGAUAGUGAAUAAAUAAAUCUCUUGAGAUCUGAUGGGUUUAUAAAGGGGAGUUCCCCUGCACACACUCUACUGCCCACUGCCAUGUGAGAAGUCCCGUUGCUCUUCCUUUGUCUUCUGCCAUCAUUGUGAGGCCUCCCCAGGCGUGUGGAACUGUGAGUCUACUAAACCUUUUUCUUUAUAAAUUACUCAGUCUUCGGGUAUGAAGGUUACAAGAAUUGAGUUGAUUUUCUGAAACUUCUUUAGAAUAGCUUUUAUUUCUGGGACUUUUCAACACCAGAUUCCAGAUAGAUUAAAAAACUGAUCAAUCUCAAACCUGAUAUAUAAAGUUGACACAAACAAUUUAGAACUAAAUUGUUAACAUUUAUUUACCAUAUUUAGUUUCCUCUUCAGUCAUAAAGGUAUGAUUAAACUUAUUGGCUCAGCCAUUGGAAUUGGCUAGAGAUCCUUGAAGAAGAAAAAAUUUUAUGAAUUUAAAAGAAACAGAAGCCAAGCUUAAUUUUAACCUUUCUUCACAGUCUUUAAUCAUAUCAUCAAUCUUCUUGUUUGGAUGUCAUUUAGGAUAGGGUGAAAUACCAUCUGCUAUGGAAAAGCUCAAACGCAGUAUUUUCUGGAUGUACUGGACUAGGUAAAGUCUGCAAUUCCCCUCCAGACCUAGGAUUUGAUGUGUAGACAGAACGUGCAAUUUUGCAAUCUGCUGAGCCAGAAGAGGAUUUAAUAUUACAUCCAGAACUGUACUCAAAUUGUCAAAAAAUGUUCAAUAAAAUAACUGUAAAUCAUACUCAGUUAAACUAGCUGGCAAAGGUAGCAUGACAAAAUUGAGAAAUAAUGCAUAUGGGACAUAGUGAUAUUUACAUGUUUUCAGGGCUUACGCCCUGGGUGGCUAUUUACAAGACAGCAGUUUCCACCCUUCCCCUCCACUUCAGGUUUGAUACAAGGCCAAGUCCUCAAUCUGACUUUAUAUGACUGUGGUCUAGUUCAGAUUAGUAUUUGUCACCACUCUUCAUAGCAGACAGGAAUUCAGCAGACUGGGGAAGAAGGAAAAGGAGGACAGGGAAGAAAUUAAGGGACUAAGUCUGUUGAAGGUAAACAUACCUGUGAUCUGCUGCCUGGGAUAAUCACAACAGUAAAACAUGAAGUUUGCAUGCCAGGCAGAUGCUCACAGUUUAACACUUUUUAGAUAACCACUGAAGGAAAGAGCAUCUUAGAAUUCUCAACAUAUUUGCUGCCACCAAAAAAAAAAAAAAAAAAAAAAAAGUCAUGCAAUAAAGCAUUAUUUUUAUGCACCCUCUCUGAAAAUGUUUUGCAGAAUUCUAAGCUUCUUACUUAGAAGCUAACAGAACAUCUCGCUGGAAGAUGAUAGAUCAUAAACAUUCUUCAAAUAAAGUAAGACACAGUUUAACAGAAAACUGUCAAUCAGAACAAAUGAAUCAGUAUAACAAACAUAUAUAUAUUUUUUGAGAUGGAUUCUCGCUCUGUUGCCAGGCUGGAAUGCAGAGGUGCAAUCUCGG
RNAcentral lists this long non-coding RNA (8322 nucleotides) under Homo sapiens (human). RNAcentral's name for it is "non-protein coding lnc-ERGIC2-12:2". Lineage: Eukaryota; Metazoa; Chordata; Mammalia; Primates; Hominidae. The record is from RNAcentral.